Molecule: ribosomal RNA, 458 nt
Filed under: uncultured bacterium
Lineage: Bacteria
Description: bacterial SSU rRNA
Rfam family: Bacterial small subunit ribosomal RNA
Source: RNAcentral
CCUACGGGUGGCAGCAGUGAGGAAUAUUGGUCAAUGGGCGAAACCCUGAACCAGCGACGCCGCGUGUGGGACGAAGGGGCUUUGCCCUGUAAACCACUGUUAGAAGGGAAGAAAUGGUACCUCAGGUACCGAGGACUGUACCUUCAGAGGAAGGAUCGGCUAACUACGUGCCAGCAGCCGCGGUAAUACGUAGGAUCCAAGCGUUGUCCGGAUUUACUGGGUGUAAAGGGUGCGCAGGCGGGCUUGCGCGUCAGAGGUUAAAGACCCCGGCUCAACCGGGGCAGUGCCUUUGAUACGGCGAGUCUUGAGUACGAGAGAGGAUAGUGGAAUUCCUGGUGUAGCGGUGAAAUGCGUAGAUAUCAGGAGGAACACCAGUGGCGAAGGCGGCUAUCUGGCUCGUAACUGACGCUUAGGCACGAAAGCGUGGGGAGCAAACAGGAUUAGAUACCCCGGUAGUC